UGGUUAUGGCAUCCAUGAAGUACGCAGCGAAAUGGGAUACAUAGUGUGAAUUGCUGAAUUCAGUCAAUCAUCGAACCUUUGAAUGCACAUCGCGCCCUUUGGUACUCCAAACGGCAUGCCUGUUCUAGCGUCAUUCGUACCCUCAAUCUUUGCUAGGUGUUAGGCGUCUUGUCUCACACGAGCCUCGCCUUAAAAUUAUUGGCAGCGCGACCUACUGGCUUCGGAGGGCAGCAGAAUUCUUGCACUUAGAAUCACCCUUGGUUGAGCAACCAUCAAGCCCCUAUUUUUUCACUUUUGACCUCGGAUCAGGUAGG
Molecule: ribosomal RNA, 314 nt
Filed under: Lycogala epidendrum
Lineage: Eukaryota; Evosea; Eumycetozoa; Liceales; Enteridiidae
Description: eukaryotic LSU rRNA
Rfam family: 5.8S ribosomal RNA (bases 1-133)
Source: RNAcentral